CAUGUUCUGUCUCUCUCUGUCCCAAAAAUAAAUAAACGUUGAAAAAAAAAAAAAAAAAAAGAAGGCAUCACGUCAAGCCUGGACACUCUGCCUCUGGACUUGAUGUUUUCUGCACAGAAGAGAUAAUGUAAGCCACCGUUUAAUCACAUUUUGUGAUACAACCAAACACGAUCAAGCCUGAUUGAUAUACGAGGCUGACAGUCACUAGUACGUAGUCUGAAAAGAGAAUAAAAUGUAGAGCACUGUGAUGUAAUUAAAUAUACUGAAAAUGCCAUAGUGAGUUUGCUAACAAAGUCGCAUGUAGUCAGUCGAAAUGGCAAAACCACAGAUGAAAGAAACUGAACCGCAGGGGAGCCUGAGUGGCUCAGUCAGUUAAGAAUCUUACUCUUGGUUUCAGCUCAGGUCAUGAUCUCACAGCUUAUGGGUUCGAUUACUACGUCGGGCUCUAUGCUGACAAUGUGGAGCCUGCUUGGGAUUCUCUCUCUAUGCCUCCCACCUGCCCACCCCCAUCGUCUCUCUUGCUCUCAAAUAAAUAAGAAGGAAGGAAGGAAGGAAGGAAGGAAGGAAGGAAGGAAGGAAGGAAGGAAGGAAGGAAGGAAGGAAAAGAAAGAAAGAAAGAAAGAAAGAAAGAAAGAAAGAAAGAAAGAAAGAGAAAAGAAAGAAAGAAAGAAACUGAACUGUAGAUAUGAAAUGUUCUUGAGGCCUGGAUCUUUCAUUUACUGGCCUUGGCAAAGUUCUAAGAAUCCCAUGAUAUCUGCUAGUUCACUUUCUGGUCAUUCUGGGCCCACUCUGAGCUCCCAAGGCCACCACAACUUUCAAGUUUGUCACGUCAGUGGGCCUUUACCACUCAGGAGGAGUGUGUAGCAGACCACUCCCUCCUUUUCAAAACAGCCUCCUUUCAGCCCACACACUCCUCUGGCCCCACCAGCUUUGAGCGGGUUUCCUUCUCUGUGGUUCCUUCUCCUCUGCAGGCUGAUCCUCCUCUACCUGCUGCCAAUGUUGGCAUGUCCUGGUACGAGGCCUUGGGUCCUCUCUCUUUUUAUCCCUGGUCAUCUGGCAAAUACCAUCUUCAAGCUAAUGACCCAUGCAUUCAUAAUGCCUGCCCAAACUUUCCCCUCUGAGGUCCAAAUUCAUGCAAUUGUCUGCUUGACUCUUCCACUCGGAUGAGGCAUAGUGUCUCAGCCUUAGUGCAUCCCAAACAUCCAUCAACAAAAUACGGUCUCGCCAUACAAUGAACAGAGUACUGAUGUACAUACACCACAGUACGGGUGAACCUGAGAAAUACAUAACGUGGUGGAAGAAGCCGCACAAAAGGUCGCAUACUGGAUGAUUCUGUUCAUACCACAUGCCCAGAAUAGGUGAAGCCACAGAGAUGACGAGCAGAUUAGUGGCCUCCUAGGGAAGGGAGUAACAACAGGGAGUUGUUGGGCACAGGAUCUUCCUGGGGUAAAGCAAAAGUGCAAAAACGGGAUUGUGGCAAUGGUUGCACAACUCUGUGAAUGACUAAAAAUCACCGAACUGUGCCCUUAAAUGAAGGUUAUGAUCUGGAAAUUACACUUCAAUAAAGCUGUCUUUAAGAAAACCCUAUACUGUUGGGGCACCUGUAGCUCAGCCAGUCGAGCGUCCGACUCUUGAUUUCCGCUCAGUUCACGAUCUCAUGGUUUGUGAGUUUGAACCCCGUGUCUGGCUCUGUGCUGACAGUGUGGAGCUUGCUUGGGAUUCUCUCUCUCCCCUCCCCUGCUAAUGUGUGUGUGUGUGUGUGUGUGUGUGUGUGUGUGUGUGUGUGUGUGUGUAUGUGCACAUGCACGCACACGCUCUCUCAAAAUAACCUUAAAAAAAACUAUACUUAAAAAAAUGUUUUUAAUCUUUAUUUUUGACAGAGAGAGACAGAAAGACACAGAGAGAGAGACAGAAUGCAAGUGGGGGAGGAACAGAGAGAGAGAGACACACACACACAGAAUCCAAAGCAGGCUCCAGGCUCUGAGCUGUCAGCACAGAGCCCGACACGGGGCUCUAACUCACUAGCUGUGAGCUCAUUACCUUAGCCCAAGUCGGACGCUUAACUGACUGAGCCACUCAGGCGCCCGCCCCGCCCCCCCCAAAGAAACUAUACUUUUGAUGCGACCUGCUCAACAUGCUCCUUCUCCAGUCUUCCUUUCCUCAGAAAGUGGCCCCACCAUUCACAAGACCUCUGACAUCAUCCUGGAUUCUUCCUUCUCUUCACUUGCCACACUCAACCCAAGUCCUGACUCUUCUUCCAAAACACCUGUGGCCUCAAUUGCUCUCCAUCCCCAGGGCACCACUGUGCAAGAAGCCACCUUUCCCCUACAAGCUUGCAGGUAUUUCCUGACGCUUCUUCUUCACUCUUGCCCCUCUCCAAUGCAUUUUCACAUAGCACCUCAAGAAUCCUCUUAAAACAUACUUUACAGUACAUCUCCACCAUGUUUAUUAUUAUUUUUAAUGUUUAUUUUUGAGAGAGACAGAGAGUAAGUGGGGGAGGAGCAGAGAGAGAGAGACACAGAAUCGGAAGCAGGCUCCAGGCUCUGAGCUGUCAGCACAGAGCCCUAUGCGGGACCCAAACCCACAAACCGUGAGAUCAUGACCUGAGCUAAAGUUGGACGCUUAACCGACUGAGACACCCAGGUGCCCCUGCACCCCCACCAUGUUUAAACUCUUCCCAUUAAGCUUAUCAUAAUCCAAACUUCCUCACCCCUCACCCCAUGGCCUACAAGGCUCCAUCUAUCUCUCUUUGAGGCACUCUGCUUGUUCUAGAGCUAACUCAGCCUAUCACAGAGCCUUUGCACAUUCUGUGGCUCUCUGCAAAAAUAUACUGGACUACGUAUAUCAACGCACACAGUAAAAUUGCCCACUGAUCCUUGGGAAGGCUUGUCCCUUUUUCUGAAACACUAGCCAUCACACUCCUUAAAAAUAUUAAAGGAUGGUAAUGAGAAAUGGGACUUUAUUUUCCCGAGUAAGGAGUUAGUACACCCAAAGAAACCAUAAUUGGGUUUUUUUCCCCAGGAAAUUUACAGGUUUGAAAUCCAGCAUCUCUGAACCACUGCAAAACUCCAUACAUAGUCUGUUCACUAUACUAAGUGUCUAAGUACAGGGAAAGGAAACACGGAAAAAAACAGGGUUCCCCUUUCAUAGUUCAGAACAUAACUGAAAGAGGAAAUACCUAAACACAUAAUUUCAAUUUAAGGUGGCACACGCAGGGACAGAGGGUGUGCGGACAUAACACUGGCACGAGGAAAGGACAGAGGAAGCCCAACUACCAGCAGAGGAGUCCUCAAAGUCCACAGGUUUGGGCGGCUAGUUAGUAGGAAGAGAGCCGCGGUCAGCGAUCAGGCUCGUGUUUAGGAGGUGGCGCCAUUGCUCCUGGCAAAGAAGGGGUUGGCCAGGUAAGAGCAGGUAACUGGAGCAGUUCAAUGUCAUGGCUGGCUACAUGAAGAAAGUACUAUCUGGUGUAACUAAAAGCACAGAUGGGAGGUUUGGAAAGAGGCAUUCAAGCAAACUCCUUUAUUUCAAAAUAUGGGCAUUCAAUACUAUGCUACUACACAAGCCUUCUGGGCUCAGUAAAUCCAUCAUUAUGCAUGCAUUUAUCUUAUGCAACACACAGAAGCCUAGGAGAUGGGUAUUAUCUUGAUGCUGCUCAAGAUGAGGAUAUUGGGAAUCAGAAAAACUGCCCAGGGCCCUCAGCAACCAACUGGCAGAGUUAGGGAUCCAGUUCAGGUCAGCAUAAUGGUACACAGCUUUUACUACAUUAUGCGGCAAGUAAAAUGAACAGUUCAGCCCUCAAAUAGUUCUUUUGACAAUGCUCUUGCAAUGUAUCCUGAGUACCUUCCCUGUGAGAGGCUCAGCUCAGCAAAACUGAUGGAGUCCCACAGACUACUAACAAUUAAAUACACAAAGGAAUAACCAUAUAAACAAGUACAUCUGACCAGAAGUAGCCGCCUUAAAAUCGAAAAUGUCAGCAAGAAAUCUCUCACCUUUUCCAUUCCUAAUUUCUUAGAAAAACAAGUUCAGGUGAAAAAUCAACUGCCCAGAUCAGAAGGAAGUUAACUGUAAAGACAUGUACAUGAAAGAACAUGGGAAUAAGAUGAAACCAGAGUGAAAAACGACAAAUAGCCACCCUCUCGCAAGAACAUUAGAUAAUGACCCUUAGUCUACAGCACGGAAACACUCUUCUGCCAAUGGUUUAAUCAACUCUGGGGCACAUUAUUUUGAAUUCGGUCUUUCAGAGUGGUAAUUAAAUUGCAGCGGAAAAAAUUUAAGACCCUAACGGGAGCGGGCUUUGGGGACGGGGCGGGGGGGGGGGGGGAAGGCCUCCAUCGCCUUACCAAAAAAUCCUACAAAGGUUUCUCCAAAUAUUGAGCAACUGUCCCAGGUUAGGGAAACACCUGCGGCUAACAGUCUCCUUAAGCAGCCCUAGGAGUUGCUAAAGGUCCAACCACGCCGGCCGCAGGCGACAAUCCUGCAAGACUCCGGGGCCAGGAUGGGGGGAGAGCGCUCGCACUGCGGCUUGGAUCUCUUGUCUUGGGGGCAGUCUAGGAGACUCUGGGGUCCUCCCUCAUCAGGAAAGCCCUCAGUUUACAAAGAUUUCAGUCCCUAGCCCUCCGCCCGGACCAGGACGGCACAAGCAAACAAAGGCGCGGCUUGCGUCGUCCGCCGGCCGAGGUGAGGGGAAGGCGAGCGGUGACCCACCUGACCUCCACCUGCCCGACGAGAGGCCGGACCGGCCCUGUGUGGACUUGGCCGCACUUCCUUCGCCGCAGAGGGCCGGGGAGACUGGGGGACCCCGCCCUGCCCUCGGGGUGUCCCCGGGGGUCCCGGGCCGGAGCCCACGCCCACGCGCGGCCUCGCCGGGGCCGGCCCCGCACUGCAGCAGCGCCCGCCGAGGGCCCCGGCCGCGCUCGGGGGGCUCCCCUCGCCCCGGGACCGCCCCCACAGCGCCGCUCGAACCCUGCGCGUCCGGGGGGAGGACGCCCGCGCCGCCUCGCCGCCCCAGGGCCCGCGGGAGGAGACGCCCGGGGCGCCCGGGCUUCGCCCGGCGGCCGAGGGCGCGGGGCCGGCUUACCGGCGGCGGCGGCAGCGGCAGCGUCCCUUGUCGGCGGGCGCGCCCACGUGCGGCGCGGAAGAGCCGGCCGGGCUGUGGCAGGUAGAGCGAGCGGCCCGCUGCGGCUCAGUCGGAAGCCGGGACCGCGGAGGAAGCACCGCGCCCGAGCCGGAGCGGCCGCGGCCCCAGGCGGUGGGGCGGGACCGUGAGGAGGGCCCUCGGCAUGGAGGCGUGGUCAUGGCGGGCGGAGGCGGAGCCGGGGCGGGCCCCCGGCGCGCGGGGGCGGAGCCGGGGCGGGACCAAGGGCGAGCCCUCGGUGCGGGGUCAGAGGCAGUAGGCGGGCCUUCGAUCCGGGGGGCGGGAUCAGGAGGCGGUACCUUAGCGUGCGGGGGCGGGUCCUGGGCGACGACUAGCGAGCUCGGGGCUCCAGCCUCCGGUCUUCCACAGCUUCCAGGCGGUGGGCGUCGCUCUGAGUAGCAGAGACUAACUGCCGCCCUCGCAGCGGGUCUGCUCUGGGGAAGGCCUGCUCGGGUGGGCGGGGUGGCUUCGGCUUUCACCUGGGGCUCCCCCGCCACCCCAGAACCUCGGUCAGUGAAUCAGCGUACCCCGGGAGGGGCUUUGUAGUUAGAGACAAGGAGAACUGCGGGGGCCCAAAAGACUGGGGCCGAUGGCACCUGGCUCACCCCAUCCUUUCCGUCGGGGCCACACCCAAACCUUUUGCGAGGAGAUGAAAUGAACCUUUCCAUACAUGCUGGGGCCUUUGGAGGCUCGGGGACCCUGGUUAAAGCGCCCCCACCCCCGGAGGCCGCGCUUUUCUGGCCCUCGGCAUCAGAGGUGAGGAAGUUAAUUUUUGUAAUGAGUUCCUUUACGUGGGCUCUGGCUCAGAAAGGAGAGCAUUAAUAUUUCCGGAUAAAGUCUAACUCCUUCCUGUCAUCCUUACGAGCCUUCGGACCUGGACAGUUCAGACCCACACAACCUGGCCCAACGCCUGCAGGGCCAGAUGCACCUUAAGGAUGGGAGUCAGGCAGAGUUCACCUGAGCAUCCUAAUUGCACCAGCUGGGGCUCCCAGCCAAUCAAACCAGUGGCUCCUGUUGAGUGAGGUAGUAAUUUCUGCACAGGCCGCCAAUCAUUUAACCCUUGACAGUCCCUUAAGGAAUUUUCAGAUCUAGUCUGGGGCUCCUAAAAGCUAGGCGGUCAUGAAAGAGUUAGGAGGUCCAUGCACACUUAAAAAUUGUACAGAACAUUUUGUGUAUAUGUUUCUGCAAAAGGGUAUAUAGUUUGCGUCAGAUUCCCAAAGGGAUCUGCCACCUCUCCCAAAUCACCAAGAAUAUAUUUAUAGCUUGUGAUGCUGACCCCACCCCUGGCCCACCCAGGCUUCUGAUUCUGUUUCCAUCUACAUUUGCCAUACACCAAGGGCCCAGAUGUCAAUUCUCUAACGGUCAAUUUUAGGAAUAGUCUUAAAGUGGAAGCCGAGGAAAACUAAAGGGUAGAGCAUUGAGUAGGAAAAAAAGACUUUCGUGAAAAUUGAUUUCCUGAUCUGAGAAACUCCAUUUUUACAAAAACAGAUGCCAAAGGGUGAGGUGGGUUUUUUUGUCUUAGUUUCCUCAAAUCCUAGCCACACUCCAUACUGCAUUUAACUCAUAAUGAAAAAACUACUUCUACUUCCCAUUGAAAGAGAGAACAAGUCUAUUCAUGUCAAAACCACCAUGUGUAACUUUGUCCUAUACAUUAAAUGAUAUGCUUGCCUUUUUGUGUCACCUAUCUCUAAAGAAAUCCAGGUGUAUGGAAAGUUAAAUUAGCUUUGACAGUUUGCAGUAUCAUAAACCCUUAAAAGAAUAACUUCAUUGAUAAUCAGGAUUGAUAGUCAAUGUACAAGUAUUAAGAUUUGAAAGUUUAUUCCCCCACAAAUUCUGUUUUCGUGGGUCAGGUCGUCACUCUUCAAAGUCUACUUAGGUGUAUUCAUCUGUUUAAGGCACAUAAAUAGAGCAGGUUCCUCACAUAAUAAUGUUCUAAUCAGAGCAUUUCAGAGUUCAUUUGAAUCAGAACCUGAAUCCUUACCCCUUCUGAUAAUAAAGAAGGGGUUAUAAAUGAGAGGUGACUACAUUCUCUGGCUCAGGCUGGCCUACCUAGUAGAGAGAUUGGGGAGGUAAACACGUUCAGAGUUUCCAUAUGCAAACACUGGUAAUCCUCUAACCCUGUCUUUGCUAUAAACUGGAUUCUACUCUAUCCCAUCUAAAGUCCUGCUUAGUUCUGUAUUUGAUAUUGUGCCUGCUUUGUGGUUGACUUGCAGUAACAAGUAAACCUUUGUCAGGAUCGUCAUUAUCACCCAUUUCAUCUCCACACUACAUCACCGUUCAGCAUCUCGGUCUGUCACCAUCCUUGUUGCAGCUCAGUAGGUGAGGGAGAAGCCCAAAGGCCAGGCCUACAGCUGAUUCUGUAUGCGGGCUUAACACACGUGUCAACUUAGGAAAGUAUGUCACAGCGACGUUGAUUCAGAGAGGGUCACUGGCUCAAUUUGGUACCUAAGAAACACACAUAAUGGGAUAAUCCAUUUAAAAUAUGCCACUUUUAAACCAUAUUUCAUUUGCCUACCUUAUGGAAAAGUUCAUACAAAGGCUACGUUAGGGAUCUAAUAAUCAUAUGGCUUACAAAUCACUUAGAUUUGACAUAUCAUCCCCCUUAAUUUUUACACCGAGGGAGUUGCCCUGGUCUCCAGACUCCUCAUAGUGAAGUUGGAUGUGCCAAGCACUUGGCACCAAGAAAAGCCAAGGAACUGGCCUUAGUCCUGGAUAUGAUCCUGGCUCUUGGCUCUUAGCUGUGUGAUCUUGGGCAAGUUAGUCAAUUUCUCCAAGCCUUUUUUCCUUAUUUGAAUGAUAAUGACUCAUUUAAAUGAUAUUAAUACCUAUCUCAAAGAACUGCCAUGAGAAAUACAUAAAACAAUGUAGGGUAAAUAUUGAGCAUGACGUAUGGCCUCGUAUGCCAUGGUUCUCAACUCAUGAAUUUUUUUCUUUUUUCCCUUCUGAUUCUAAGCCCAAUUUUUUUUUUCACUACAGCCCACAAUGAAAUAUUUCAUGCACAUGUAUUAGGUUCCUUUUCGUUUCAAGCAAUAACAUAAUUCAAACUAGCUUAAGGAAAGUGACAUUUCUUGGCUCAGUCAGUUGAGCAUCUGACUCUUGAUUUUGACUCAGGUCAUGAUCCCAGGGUCGUGGGAUCGAGCCCCGCUUCAGGCUCUGUGCUGAAGAUGGAGCCUGCUUAACGUUCUCUCUGCUUCUCUCCCCCACUCAUGCUCUCAAUCUCUCUCUAAAAUAAAACGAAAGGAAUAGCCUGAGGCCAGCUAAGGGAUGCCACUCUGGGGAGGUGGGACAGUCUCUCUCGGGGCCAUUUUGUAAGUGCGUCCCUCGAGAAUUGGUUUCUUCCUUUUCAGGCUAUGCUUGGUUCCCUCUGCUUCCUCAACCAUAUGGUGUGAGGCAUGGCCACUCACAGUAACAGCUCGGAGCUUUUCCUGAUGCAGUCCAGCUGCUCCUCCUCUUUAGAAGACAGGCUUACAGCUGGAACAGUCAACAGAGGCUAGCAGGGCAAAGUCACUUUGUGGCUGUUGCAGCUGCAAACAUGGGAGGAAGCAGCGGGGGAGGGUGCUGGGCAGACCAUCUAAUAAUCGUCCCCUAUGACCUUUCCAUAAAAAAAUGAGACACACCGUUCUGGUCAGCAGUUUACCACCAAGGGUCUUUUAAGCAGGCUACACACUGAUCCCAAGAUGUCAAGGUGAUUGGCUAGAGAGAAAAAAGGGAGAAGAAAUAAAAGGAAAUGGCCUGUUUACUUGUGCAUUUCCUGUCUGUGACCCCAUUAGGCAGAACCUAAAAGUGCUCCAUGGUCCCAGACCUCUUGCCUGCCAUUGGCAGCGUUCUGGAGGCUGGCUGCAGAGGGAGACCAGAGUAUGAAAGCUAUUGAGGCAACAUAUUGAAAACCAUCAAAAUGUUUUUAGAGCCAGACAAGAAGGCAUUAAAAAUGUCCUAGGAGCUACGGUCUGAGAUGAAUGUAAGAGCAAGCUGGGUUUAAUCAGGCAAUAUAGAGAUGGCUAAAGGAAGUGAGAUGUAAUCUGGGUGGGAUUCAGAUGUCCUUCACCCAAAGUGGAUGAAGAAGUGAGGUUGUCAGGAGCUACACGACACUUUGCCAUGCUGCCGUCAUUACGUUGGAGAGUCAAGACGAAGAAACACUUUGCACGCUGUGACAGACCAGACGUAACAGGGUUACCUGAGUAGUCCUGGUCCGCCAAAUGAGGGAAAUCUUGAGUACUCCCAUACUGUACUUAUUAUCAAAUGGAAGCCAGCAUCAUCUUAUUUCUGCAAUGCUGUUGUCAGGUGAUAUGAUGUGACCUUUGUGGUCAUGAUCAGGUGACAACAUUGCUGUAUCUCACUGUGAACAACCCAUCAUAAACUUGGUAAAUUUGUGGUUUCUUUCCUUUGUCAUUUGUCCAUCUUGCACCUGUUGCAUUUCUCUUGUUUGGCUAGCCAUUCCUUCUGAGGUCUUGACGCCCUAGCAAACUUGCCUCACAAGUGUACGUCUCUUUCGUGAGAUUCUUUAGUCUCCAAGUCCUUCUUCUACAGGGUAUAACCAGAACCAAGGGGGCUGAUUACAAAGCCAGUCCCAUUUGGAAGCAGUGAAUGUGGAGUUGGUUGUCGGAGAGACUACAAAAGGCCCAGGAACACUCAAGAAUCACCCUGGGCUGUAGGGGAGCAGGAACAGGUCAGGGAGAAGACAUCUGCCUCUGCGAGAGCAGAGAUGGUCUGCACAAAGUUGCCUAUGCCGGGGCAAUUUGAAAGAAGGGGCAGGGCAACUUUGCAAACAUUCUGGGAACACAGAAUGCAAAACCCCAAGUGAAAAACCCAGUAUGGAAGAAAUCGUAUCCCAAUGAAAAAAAAGGACAUUCCUCCUGAGUCCUUCAAGCCAUACUGCUUCAUAAGAACCCGUUCAAAUGUGCCCAAAUAUAAUGAAACAGAAUGCGGUACAAAGCAGGAUUGCAGAACAAUAGAAAUGGAGGAAUCACAUCCUCGAAGAGUCAACAACCUAGAAACAGCAUGGGAUUGCUGGAACACGGCUGCAGCCCGCUCCGUAGCCCUGAGGGCUCUCGUUCGGCCAACACCAGCAGCACCCAGGAACUUGUCAGAAGUGCACAUCUUUGCGCCCCAGUUCUGAGCAAUGUUUUAACAUGCCCUCCAGGUAAUUGUGAUGCCCUCUGACACUGGAGAACCACUGGACCAGGUUCUUCUCCGUCUCAGGUUAGAGUCUGGGCACAGUAAAAUCUCUCGGCCCGAUUCUAGACGAGACCCGCUUUCUCACAGGGAGAUUCUAGUCGACAGAAAAUGAAGCCGACUAUACCACCAGAAUUCACUCAUUCACUCCACAAACGUUUAUUAAGCAUUAAGCACCAAAGCAGACAUUCACCAGUUUUGGACGACUUUGUCAUGGACCAGUUGGCCAUGAGGCUCGGUAGCAUCUGGAGGCAGGAGGGCCAAGUAGACAGGGGUCUCAGCUCCCUCCUCCACAGUCCUGGGGCCGCAAGGCCCACCCAGGUCCGUUUUUACCCACCCCGGGCAGCAUGCGUUCAGCAGAAUCCUGUCCGCUUUUCUCUUCUCAUCCAGAUGCCGGGCCAAGAUCCUUGAUAAGACCGUGACCCCCAGCUUGGACACCCCAUAAGCCGAGUUGGGCCAGCCUUCCCUCUCGUGCACUUCGUUGUUUGCAUCCUCCACAAACUUUUUCAUGAGGUCCACCAGGUCCCCUUCUGUGAGCGUCUCGCAUCGGAACUUCUUCUGUAGAUCUGGGCUGCAAUUUUCAAGAGCUUUGGAGCCCUCUAAACUGCUGAUAUUCACCACCCUGCCUGAAACAGAAUAGUAAAUAUAUGGAAGCAGGUCACAGAUAAAUGAUUGUUGGGUGACUAUACCCAACAUGCAAUUGAUUGAUACUGCAGGUUUAAUUGCUGGUUAAAAAAAAAAAAAAAAAGACUCUAGAAGGGACCCAGUGGGCUUUAACAUUAUUUUGUGCUCUCCUCCCCCAAAGGAAAGGACACAUUUCCAUCAGUAACAGGGGCUAAAGGGCAGUGAUUCUCCAGUGGGCAGUUUUAUAAAACAUCCCACUACACACACACAAACACUCCAGGCGCCUGUGAACUUGGUUUCCCAGAGACAGCACCCUCACCCCAAGGAUUAAAGCUGUUUACUGGUUUGCACAAUUUCCUAGGGCCCUGGGCACCACCUCUUUGCCUCCAACUGCCAAAUAUCAGGGUCAAGCAAUGCCUUACGAUGACCCUGUCUAUCCUGAAUGAUGGGUACUCUCACACAUGGAGUGGGUUGAUUCUCCAUCCCAGUUUUGAUUUUCUUCACUUUCUUUAGCCCAUCAUUAAUAAUUAAAUAUAAUUAAUGAGUUAAUAUUCACAUUAACCAUAAUUCACGGCUAUUAAAAAGACGGUUAUGUCUAUGAAAAAACAUGCAGGCCAGAAACUAGAAGACGGCUGGAAACAUUGAUUGGAAAUCCCAAAACCAGUGUGUGAAUUUACACAGUUCACCUAACAUCAGAAGACACCACGUUGCGUUACCUGGGUGGCUCAGUCGGUUGAGUGUCCGACUUCAGUUCAGGUCAUGAUCUCAUGGUUCAUGAGUUCGAGCCCCACAUGGAGCUGUAUGCUGUCAGCACAAAGCCCACUUCGGAUCCUCUGUCCCCUUCUCUCACUGCCCCUCCCCCACUCAUUCUCCUUCUCAAAAAUGAAUAAACAUAAAAAAAAAAGACACCACAUUUAGGGGGUUCUUUUCUUACAUAUUAUCCCGAAUCCACUCUUUCUGUAUCCACUAGGAUAGGUGGAUUUUAUUGCAUUUUCUGAGUGGCAUUCAUUCACCAUGGGGUUGGGGGUGUGUGUGUUGUACAUUCUACUAGAUAUCUUUGUGGGCCAACUGCACACAGAGAUGGCCUCACUCUGUCUUGAAUAUGAGCACUCACUUAUCCCCAGGUACCUAAGACUCUUCAGUAUUUUCUUCCUCUCUUGUAAUACAUAUUUCCUUCCCAACUUUGAACUGUGAAAAAUUUGAAGCCUACAGAGAAAUUGCAAGAAUAGUUCAAUACAUACCCAUAUGCCCUUCACCUAAGCCCCUCAAUUAUUAACAUUUGGCCACAUUUGCUUUCUCUUUGUCUUAAUUGCAGACAAGUAUCAUAAAACUUUGCCCUAAGCACUUUAUAUACGGUAACAAGGGUAUUACCUUACAUAACCACAAGAGUGAUCACCCUCAAGACAUUUAUCAUGAUAUAACACUAUUAUCUGAAGUACAGUCCGUAUUCAAAGGGUCCAAUUAUCUCAAUAGUCUUUCUUUAUAGUUUUUGUUUUCAUCCAGGCUCCAACGUAGGAUCACGGAUUGUAUUUAGCAGUCAUAGCUCUUUAGUUUUAACCUAGAGUAGUUAACAAUGAUCUUUUUGAAGACUCUAGGCUAUUAUUUUGUAGUAUUUCUCCCAUUUGGACUGGCAUGGUUUUCUAAUUAGAUUCACUUCAAUGCUUUGGCUAGGAAUACUACUUUGAUGAAGUUGUGUUCUUCAUUACUUUCUAAGCAGCUUUGUUUGUUUUUUUUUUUUUAACGUUUAUUUAUUUUUGAGACAGAGAGACAGAGCAUGAAUGGGGGAGGGUCAGAGACAGAGAGGGAGACACAGAAUCGGAAGCAGGCUCCAGGCUCCGAGCUGUCAGCACAGAGCCCGACGCAGGGCUCGAACUCACAGACCAUGAGAUCAUGACCUGAGCCGAAGUCGGACGCUUAACCGACUGAGCCACCCAGGCGCCCCCCUUUUUUCUUUUUUUUAAGCCAGCGUGGGGCUUGAACUCACAACCCUGAGAUGGAGAUCCAAGCAGACAUCAAGAGUCAGACACCUAAUCAACUGGGCCACCCGGGCACCCUAAACAAAUUUGUUCUUAAUUGCCUGGUUGCUACAAGGAAUUAAAUUCAAAAGGGUAAAGAAAGAAAGAAAAAUGAACAUAGGGGUGCUACUCUUUGCCUUUGGUAGAAAUAAAAAACUUUCUAAGAGUCAGAGGUGUCCUCUGAUCUCAGGUGACAUCUCAGGUGAUCAUCAGUGAGGCCAAGGGAUGACCAUCUCAGCAGCCAGCUGGGUGCAAUCAGUCCUGAGAAGGGCUGCACCCACACAACCACCACCAUUUGCUGAGGUCCAGGUGGGCCCCCUGGUCCUGAAACAACCCCUAGCCAUUCUUAGAAAGAGUGGACAAGUAGCUCCCCCUAGUGGGUAAACAUUGGAUUAACUUAUUCACUCAGAAUCUUGAAAGAACAAGCAAAAGGUUUGGUAACUUAAAAAUUUUUUUUUAACUGUGCAUAUAUUUUUGAGAGAGAUACACACCAAGUGCCAGCGGGAGAGGGAGACACAGAAUCUGAAACAGGCUCCAGGCUCGGAGCUGUCAGCACAGAGCCUAAAGCAGGGCUGGAACCCACUAACCGUGAGAUCAUGACCUGAGCUAAAGUCAGACACUUAACCCACUGAGCCACCCAGGGGUCCCAGAAGUAACUUUCUUUUAAAGAGGUAUUAUAGGGGCGCCUGGGUGGCUCAGUCGGUUAAGCGUCCGACUUCGGCCUAGGUCAUGAUCUCACAGCUCGUGGGUUCAAGCCAGGCUUCAGCCUCUGUACUGACAGCCUGGAGCCUGCUUCAGAUUCUGCGUCUCUCUCUCUCUCUGCCCCGCCCCUGCUCACACCCUGUCCAUCAAAACGAACAAACAUUAAAAAAAAAUUUUUUUAAAUAAGGAGGUAUUAUAAAGCCAAAUCAAAUGUGACAUUUAAGUCAGUUUUGCAUGGGUAGAGAUUCCCUACAAAUCAAGAAGCAAGGAUCCUCGCUUUUUGCCUUCUGGGUAAACGUGAGUUUUACUGAAAAUUCACAAGUAUUCUCAAUGUGUUGUAAACCAGAUUCCCAAGUUGGGAAUUACUGUUACAGAGAACUGGUUGAAGCCAGUGAUUCAUCUGCUUCUGGGUUGAUGCCCGAGCUCCACCCUCCUCCAAGCUGCCUUUCAUCUUUCAAAACGGCUUGUUUUGCAAUUGUUUGGCGUUAAGAUCCUUCCCUUCACUGGAACUAAUUAUCCUGAUUUGAUUGAGGGGUGAAGUCAGGAAACCUGAACACUGUUUCCAGAUCUAUCACUACCUGACUGCGUUCAUGUCUUUGGGUCUCAAUUUCCUUCUCGUAAAAUGAAGUCAUAGGAAUGUCAAGUUUCUUCAAUACCUUGUAGUUUUCCAAUUCUAGGAUUCUAAAACCCAUAGAGAGAAGACUUCUAGACACUUGGUAGACAUCACCCUUGCAAAUGGAAUACAAUGCAGCUGUAAAAAAAAUAAGAAAGCUUUCUGUCUUGAUCUAGAAAGAGUCCCAGAGAUAGUGAAAAAAAGCAUAGUAGCAAACAUUAUACUUAAUGUUCCCAUUAUGUAAAAAAGGGAUACACACACACACAUACAUAACUUAGAUUUGCAUUUAAAAACUAUGCCCUUGGCCCUGAGCACUCAGCAACUCCACGCACCUAGAACCAAGCAAGGCUUCCUUCAGCCAGUCCCAGCAACUCUGCCUGCGGGCUUUCUGUGAUCUCAUCCCACUGGGAAAAGACAAAGGGAAUCGCCUGUAGAGACUGGGGACAGGAAUUGGGCAAGUGGGGGAGCAUGAGUCUGAGUGCAGCUCUCACCAAACAUCUUUUUAGAUUUUAAGAUUUUUGCACUAGAGAUCAUCUUUAUUCAAAAUGUUAAAUUAAGAAAAGCACUUUUUUUUUCUUUUUUUUUGGGAGACAGCAAGCAUGAGCUGGGGAGAGGGGGAGGGAGAGAGAGAGAGCGAGAGCGAGAGAAUCUUAAGCAGGUUCCACACUCAGCACAGAGCCCAAUGCGGGGCUCCGACCCCACGACCCUGGGAUCAAGACCUGAGCUGAAAUCAACGGUCAGAUGCUCAACCGACUGAGCCACCCAGGCACCCCAAGAAAAGCACAUUUCUUAUAAGAACCACAGAGUUUUUCUUCCUAAGAAUCACAGCUGCCUUCCUGGGAAAGAGAAUCGUCAAGGAAGCGAGCCUUCUCUGCCCCCUCCCAGUACAGUUGUAGGAUUUUUUGUCAAUGAGGGUCUUGUCCACUGGACUCAGUGCUCCAUGGUCAGGAUUGUCCCUGUUCACAGUGCUUACCACUGUGUCCCCAGCACCCUGGGUUAUGGUAGGCCCUCCAGUAUUUGUGGAAAAAGUAAUAAAAGUUAUUGAAUACUUGGGAGUGUGGGCAAGAUACUUCCUAAUAAAGAAAUAUUUCUUUGGGAGGUUCUUCAUUAGCUUGACAAAGUGAAGAAAGGAACACAGGGAAAGUCAUAAUGAUGCUAAAACAGAGCCUUCCCUGCCAGGCUCCCAAAUGAGCUGGUGUGGCCCCACCACCCUGAGGAGCUGAGAAGGACCCACUGAGGUUGCUCAAAGGCAAGAGGCCUUUGGGGACUUGUAACACCUAUUAUUCUAGGGUUGAGUUCAUAUCAUGGGACCAAAGAGCACUGCCAUGUAUCAAACAUAUCUUUCAUUUUAUUUUUAAGUAGGCUUCACGCCCAGCGUGGAGCCCAAACUGGGGCUUGAACUCACGACCCUGAGAUCAAGACCUGAGCUGAGAUCAAGAAUCGGAUGCUCAACCAGCUGAGCCACCCAGGCGCCCCAUUAUACAUCUUUUUUUAUUUUUAUUUUUGAGACAGUGAGAGAGAGAGAGAGAAUGAGAAUGAGCAGGGGAGGGGCAGACAUAUGGCUGGACUUACCAUGAGGUUUUAUUAUUGGCAGUAAUUCUAUGCAGACAUUCCUUGUGGCAAAAAAGUUUGUCUUCAGUGUUAUCUCAGCUCGAAUGUCAAAGGGUGUUGGAUCAUCAGCUUCCAAAAAGAGAAGGAAACAAAGUCAUGCAUUUCCCCUUGAAAUGUAUAUAACAAAGUGAAUCUUAUCCCUCUCUCAAGUUUAUUUAACCAAUCUCUGCGCGGAAGGUGGGGCUGGAACUCACAACCCCAAGAUCAAGAACCUCAUGCUCUACGGACAGAGCUAGCCAGGCGCCCUAGAUUUUAUCUCUAAUUAAAGGAAAAACUAGCUAACUUUAUUAUUAUAUUUUUGUAGUUUAUUUUUGAGAGAGACGGAGCUUGAGUGGGGGAGGGCAGAGAGAGAGAGAGGGAGACACAGACUCCGAAGUGGGCUCCAGGCCGUCAGCACAGAGCCCGACGCGGGGCUUGAACUCCCGAACCCCGAGGUCAUGACCUGACCUGAAGGCCCAGCCUCAACCAACUGAGCCACCCAGGCGCCCCUAAAACAAGCUAACUUUAAAACGAUUUUUAAGCCACCGGAUCCGAGCUUCAAGGGUGUAUCUGAAUCACCUGCAGGGCCUGUUAAAACACAGCUUUCUGGGCUCCGCCCCCAGAGUUUGGGAUUGAGAAGGUGUCGGGUGGGGCUCCAGAAUUUGCAUUUUUAACGCGUUCUCGGGUGACGCUACAGCUACAGGUCUGGCCCCACUUUGAGCAUUCCUGGCUUUCAGGGCAGCGGCUCAAUCUUGAAAGGGUAUGGGAGGCACCUGGCUAUCCUGUUAAAAUGAAAUUCUGAUUCAGCGGGUGUGGGGUGAGGCUCGAGAUCCUGCGAUCCCAGCGAGUGCCUGGGGCUGCACGUGCUGUUGGUCCACCGCCCACACUUUUGAGGGGGCAAGGGCUGCCAGCGGACCCGCGUUCCUGCACGCUUGGUCCGGGAAGCGGCGUAUUUAUCCAUCAAUCCUUCAGCCAGGGGCUGAGGGUUGUACCAGCGGGUGUCUGCCACCUCCCACCCGCGCUUCCGGAAAGCCGACCCGCUGAGUUGGAGGUGCGGGUGCACAGCUUCGGUGAGGGUUCAAGCCGGGGGGCUGGUCAUUCAAGGCCUCACGGCAGUUUUUACUCCCUUCUGCCUGUUGGGUUUCUCGUCUCCACUAGGUUGUAGGUGAGUCUGGCUUGGUUAUUCUUUCUACCUCCACCACACGGCGGCUCAACAACUUUCUCAGUAGAUCAAUAGAGCAAUAUCCUUGACCUCCCCCCCCCGCCAAAGAUGAUACUUAAAAUCACACUUAAAAUGUAUGUUUGAUGACAAACAAAUUCCCUGGGGGAGGGAACAAGGCUCGCUUCCUUUCUGGCUGAGCCUAUCAAAGCUUUCCAUUAAACAAAAUCUCAAGUCCACUAUUGUGCAAGUGCGCGCUGAUCGCGUCUCAGCGAUCCAUUUCCUGUCCCGAGCAGAUGCCUCCGGGCUUCUAUGAAAGCUCCCUUUCAAGGAAAGCGAAAGCCCAAAGUGAGCUGGAGACCCUUCGCAGGGAAAAUGUUUUUUGCUUUAGACAGAAAGCUGAUGAGCUUAGCAGGGCGUGGCCCCCUCCCAGGAGGCCGGUUUUCUGGCAAACCGCAGCAACCGACGGCUCCGGGAGGGCCCAGGGCUGCGCCCCGCCAGCUUCGCGCUAAGCGAACCGCUCCCGCGACUCCGCGGAAAGCGAGAAGCCGCCGAGGGAGGCCAAUGUUGAGCGCAUCCCGAGGGGCCGGCGCUGCGCUCCGCGAUCACUCCAGCCCACAAGUAGGGGGCGCCCGCGGCUCUCUGCCCCGAACCCUUGGCGCCCCCAGAGACCCACCCCCGACCUACGCUGGAAGGCGAUGCCCGCGUUGUUGACCAGCACGUUGAGGCCCCCGUACUCCUUGCGCAGGAAGUCGCGCAGGGCGCGGAUGUUCUGCAGGUCGUCGAUGUCCAGCAGGUGGAAGCGGGGGCUCAGGCCCUCGGCCUGGAGCUGCUGCACUGCCGCCCGGCCCCGCGCCGCGUCCCGCGCCGUGAGCACCACGUCCCCCGAAAAUUGCCGGCACAGGUCGCGCGCGAUGGCGAAGCCGAUGCCUUUGUUGGCCCCGGUCACCAGCGCCACGCGGCUGCAGGACGACAUGGCCGGGGAAGGCACUUGGCGCGUGGAGAGCGGCCCGGGCUGUGAGCCACUAGGGAGCUCGCUGCGGAGGCUCGGACACAGAGAAGCCACAGAGAACUGAGUUCUGGGAUCCAGUGCUGCGACUUCUAGAGAACGAGGCCCGGCCCUCGGUCCCUCCCCUGCGAGGAGUGGCCGUCCGUUCCCGAAGGUUUCGUAACGCCCCCCUCCGGAGUCCGCCCCUUCCCGGCGCUGCGCCCUUUUGAUCCCGCGUCUGAGCCCAGCGGUGGUCUGCGGGGUGGAGCGGUUAGUCGAUUUCCCAAAGCCCAAACCGAUGGUGAUGGGAUCUAGAGAUUCAUUGCAGUUGGACUGAAACUAUUCUAGGAAAACCCCAAAAGGAGAAAAACAAGGGCUGAGUAAUUUUCUUGGGCGUGCGCCCAUCAUCCACUGCAAAAUGAAAAUGUUUGCUUUUUCCUCAAAUGCAGCGAAAUGAUUUAGACACGGUAACUGCCUCUCAGGACAUAGGUUCUCCCGUUUCCUUAAACUCAAGGAAAAAAGGUCUUAUGAGUAGAUUUUCAGGUGCGGGCAGGGUUCAUUGCUGUGUGUGAUUGCCAGCCGGCCCCCGAGUGAGAGGGAGUGUUUAUGAAGCUCUUACUGUGUGCCAAGCCUCUUAUUGGAAUGUUUUUAUUUAAUCCUUACAUAACUCAUUUGGGUGCUAAGUGUCUGCAUUUUAGGUCUGUCCAAGGAGGCUAUAUAUAUAUAUAUAUAUAUAUAUAUAUAUAUAAUUUUUUUUUUUUUCUCCCAGUGAAAACUGUGCACCUGCAAAGUUCAAACAGAAAUGAAUCCCCUGGUGUGUCAAGGUCUGCACAGACAAUCAGAACUCCCCCAUGCGUCUUCUUUAGUGUAAUCUGAGGGUGUUUGAUUGGUGACACUUAGAUUUAUGGAGAGCUGCGACCUCAUUAUGACUCAGCUUUUCCCAAGCAGAGUUGGCUAAGCUGCUGGUGUCUGUCACCUUGCCUCUACCCUUCUCUAUCAAAUCAACAAACAAGAUCAGGAAAGUGGGUUCUUGCUGGGUGGUCCCUUACUGUAGCUCAACCAAUAUAUUUUUUUCUCUCUAAAAAUUAUUUGGAACUUUAUUUUAAAGUUGUGGGACUAGCCUUUUCUGAAGAUGGUGUGGAAAGGGAAGAAGGAAGCCCCUACCCCUCCCAAAGCAGAAGCCAGAGCAAAGGCUUUGAAAGGCAAGAAAGCGGUGCUGAAAGGCAUCCACGGUCUCUCUCUCUCUCUCUCUCACACACACACACACACACACACACACACACACACACACACACACAGAUCCUCACAUCACCUACAUUCUGAUCGCCUAAGACACCGUGUCUCCAAAGGCAGCUCAAAUAUCCUCAAAAGAGUACCCCCAGGAGAAACAAGCUUGACUACUAUGCCAUCAUCAAGUUCCCCCUGACUACAGAGUCAGCCAUGAAGAAAAUAGAGGACACUUGUGUUCAUUGUGGAUGUUAAGGCCAACAAGCACCAGAUCAAACAGGCUGUGAAGAAGCUCUAUGACAUUGACGUGGCUGAGGUCAACACUCUGAUCAGGCCUGAUGGAGAAAAGGCAUAUACGUUCAACUUUGGAUGUUGCCAACAAAAUUGGGAUCAUCUAAACUGAGUCCGGCUGACUAAA
This 19642-nucleotide long non-coding RNA is filed under the name Lynx pardinus (Iberian lynx). Lineage: Eukaryota; Metazoa; Chordata; Mammalia; Carnivora; Felidae. The record is from RNAcentral.